RNAcentral lists this ribosomal RNA (497 nucleotides) under uncultured bacterium. Its description in RNAcentral is "partial 16S ribosomal RNA". It matches the Rfam family "Bacterial small subunit ribosomal RNA", at positions 28 to 507 of the family's 1533-position model. The record is from RNAcentral.
GACGAACGCUGGCGGCGUGCCUAAUACAUGCAAGUCGAACGCUGAAGAGAGGAGCUUGCUCUUCUUGGAUGAGUUGCGAACGGGUGAGUAACGCGUAGGUAACCUGCCUGGUAGCGGGGGAUAACUAUUGGAAACGAUAGCUAAUACCGCAUAAAAUUGAUUAUUGCAUGAUAAUUAAUUGAAAGAUGCAACUGCAUCACUACCAGAUGGACCUGCGUUGUAUUAGCUAGUUGGUGAGGUAACGGCUCACCAAGGCGACGAUACAUAGCCGACCUGAGAGGGUGAUCGGCCACACUGGGACUGAGACACGGCCCAGACUCCUACGGGAGGCAGCAGUAGGGAAUCUUCGGCAAUGGGGGGAACCCUGACCGAGCAACGCCGCGUGAGUGAAGAAGGUUUUCGGAUCGUAAAGCUCUGUUGUAAGAGAAGAACGGGUGUGAGAGUGGAAAGUUCACACUGUGACGGUAGCUUACCAGAAAGGGACGGCUAACUACGUG